RNAcentral lists this ribosomal RNA (497 nucleotides) under uncultured bacterium. RNAcentral describes it as "partial 16S ribosomal RNA". It matches the Rfam family "Bacterial small subunit ribosomal RNA", at positions 28 to 507 of the family's 1533-position model. The record is from RNAcentral.
GAUGAACGCUGGCGGCGUGCCUAAUACAUGCAAGUCGAGCGAACAUUUUUUGAGCUUGAGCCUCUGACGUUACCGGCAAACGGGUGAGUGACACACGGAUAACCUACCUAUAGGACAGGUAUCACUUAGAGGAGCCGGAGCUAAGGAAAGAGGAUAUAAUGAAGCACAAGGUUCGAUAGUGCAAGGCGAUUUUGUUAUCGCUUAUAGAUGUAUCCGCGGCGCAUUAGCUAGUUGGUAAGGUAACGGCUUACCAAGGCAACGAUGCGUAGCCGAAUUGAGAGGGUGAUCGGCCACAUUGGAACUGAGACACGGCCCAGACUCCUACGGGAGGCAGCAGUAGGGAAUCUUCCGCAAUGGGCGAAAGCCUGAUGGAGCAACGCCGCGUGAGUGAUGAAGGUCUUCGGAUCGUAAAACCCUGUUAUUAGGGAAGAAAAAACGUGUAAGUAACUAUGCACGUCUCGACGGUACCUAACCAGAAAGCCACGGCUAACUACGUG